This 254-nucleotide ribosomal RNA is filed under the name uncultured bacterium. RNAcentral's name for it is "partial 16S ribosomal RNA". It matches the Rfam family "Bacterial small subunit ribosomal RNA", at positions 524 to 776 of the family's 1533-position model. The record is from RNAcentral.
UACGGAGGGUGCAAGCGUUAUCCGGAUUCACUGGGUUUAAAGGGUGCGUAGGUGGCUUUGUAAGUCAGUGGUGAAAUGCCGCAGCUCAACUGCGGAACUGCCAUUGAUACUGCUUAGCUUGAAUCACGUCGAGGUGGAUGGAAUAUUACAUGUAGCGGUGAAAUGCUUAGAUAUGUAAUAGAACACCGAUUGCGAAGGCAGUUCACUAGGCGUGUAUUGACACUGAGGCACGAAAGCGUGGGGGAUCAAACAGG